AGCGGCUAGUUCCUGGCCAGUAGAAGGACCCUGGUGAUGUCACAGAUCAUGUGACUGUUUGGUCACAUGGUACAGAGAAGUACAGGAAGUGAUCACAAGCCAUGCGGCUGCUCUGCUAAACAAGAUGUGUGAACAGACUUUUCUCUGCUUCAUAUCUCUGCUAAAGAGUAGGAGUGUCUGUGGUUGUAUAUGGAAGUGAUCACAACCCCAACCUAUGCGGCUGCUCUGCUAAACAGGGGAGCUGAUGUGGAGGAAGUAAACUUCAGCUACAGUGGCAGAUGAGAAUAAAAAAUUUAACCGUCUGUGACAUAAGGGGACGGUGCUUCCUGAUGACGUCACCUGGAGGCCACGCCUCUAAUGGCUAUAUAAUAAGCUGCAAAGACCGGGGAUAGCGUCGGAGGAAGAGGGGAGAAGACCGGAUGAAGAUUUUUAAUAAACUUUUCAAAACGUUUCCUGUCCUUAUUUACAUACACUGCCUUUUAUGGGGUGAAUGGGUAGGGGUACAAUGUACCCCAUACCCAUAGGGAGGGGGGUCCGGGAUCUGGGGUGAUGAGCCCCCUGCCCGCAGACACCCACAACCACCGGCCAGGGUUGUCGGGAAGAGGCCCUUGUCCUCAUCAACAUGGGGGCACGGUGCCUUGGGGUGGGGCCCCCCUGCCCCAAAGCACCCACACCCCCCAUGUUGAGGGGGUGUGGCCUGUUAUGGUCCAGGGGGGGUUGGGGCCGCUCGCUCGUCCCCUCCCUUUUCCUCACCUGCCGGGCUGCAUGCUCGGAUAAGAGUUUGGUACGCCGUUUUUUCGGCAUGGGGCUACCCUCAAAUUCCAUUCCAGACCCCAAGGGCCUGGUUUGGAACCUGGGGGGGACCCCCACGCCACUUUUUUUCCCAUUUUGGCGUGGAUCCUGAUCCGACUUGCAGUGCGCCUUCCAUUCAAAUCAAUAGGUUCCCAUAGCGAACCAUUGAUUUUGAAUGGAGGCAGAAAAAACGCUGCUAAAAGCGACGUGGCCAAACAUGCAAUAACGCAAAUGGAAAAAGCUACUAAAAGCAAGUUUUUACAGCUGCUUUUUCCUGGCUUUAGAAGUGGCUCUGCAGCUCAUUUUUUCUGAUGCCCUGUGUGCAUGAGGCCUUACAGGUGGAGGCUAUUGACAUUUGUUUCCCUACUCAUCUUUUCUGACUGUUUGUCACUAGUUUUGCAUUUGGCUGGGGUCAGUGUCACUACUGGUAGCAUGAGGCCAUACCUGGACUCUAUAGAGGUUGCACAGGCAGUCCAACUCCUCCAGGAUGGCACAUCAACACGUCCCAUUGACUUGACAGAAGGUUUGCAGUGUCUCUCAGCACAGUCUCGAGAGCAAGGAAGAGAUUCUAGGAGAGCUGGACAGGGCUGCAGAAAGUCCUUUUGUUCUAGACCUCUACAGGCUAGACAAUGGCACCCUGACUGACAUUGGGUAACGGGAUGAAAUCCUUGGACCCAUUGUCAGACCCUACGCUGGUGCAGUGGGUCCUGCGUUCCUCCUGAUGCAUGACAAUGCCUGGCCACAUGUGGCGAGAGUAUGCGGCCAGUUCCUGGAGGAUGAAGGAAUUGAUACCAUUGAAUGGCCCCCCACACUUGCUUGUCCUAAAUCCAAUAGAACACCUCUAGGACAUUCUUAAAUCCUAGAUGGGGGUUUACCAGUUAAUAAGCUUUGUUUUCCUGUUUAUGGGAGGUGGAUCUACCAAAACUGUGGACCCUCUCUCUAGUACUUUUGUAGGCGAUUCUGCCGUAUUUCAAUUCUUGGGUAGUUUUUCUUGGUGUCAAGAAUGCGGGCGCAUGUCCAUUGGGACAUUUGCGCCACCUUUGCCCUUACAUGCAAUCUCCUUGUCUGGGAGGCAACCAGGGAAUUUUUAUCAGGUCUGCGUCACGACACAGCGUCAUACGCAGGGCGAGAGGAAUAUAUCAGGAAGUCGUCCCAUUGGCAUUUCUGAUAGGUGGGGAAGCCGUGUAAGUCAUGUUGAUGUUGUCUCAAUGUAAGAGUACACGGAGCAGUCACACACACAAUACCUCCUGCACUUGGGAAAAUGGCCCCUCCAGAUGGAUAUGCUUAGCUCUUCAUUACUUUUGAAAAUGGGUAACCAUGCUGUGCGGUGUAUACAAGCUGAUUAUGCCUUUUGCCUUGCAGGUUUGAAAAAAAAAAAGUUUAUGCGGUUUACAACCGCUUUAAAUCAAUGUGAUUGGUUGCUAAUCAAUUUUUCCCUACAAACAGUGGAAAUCUGGAUGAUUAUCCUGUGCUCUAAUGCACAGCGAUGAGACCCAUUAUCAACCUUAAAAAUUAUUAUUUUUCUGUAUAUUUGUUACAUAUAUAUAUAUUUAUUUA
Molecule: long non-coding RNA, 2349 nt
Organism: Rana temporaria (common frog)
Lineage: Eukaryota; Metazoa; Chordata; Amphibia; Anura; Ranidae
Exons: 2
Source: RefSeq, a predicted model, not a curated record